GACGGAGGAGGCAAGCGUUGUCCGGAAUCAUUGGGCGUAAAGAGCGCGUAGGCUGUUUUUCAAGUCGUAUGUGAAAACCUCAGGCUCAACUUGAGGAUUGCAUAUGAAACUGGAUAACUUGAGUGCAGUAGGGGAAAGCGGAAUUCCUGGUGUAGCGGUGAAAUGCGCAGAUAUCAGGAAGAACACCAGUAGCGAAGGCGGCUUUCUGGGCUGCUACUGACGCUGAGGCGCGAAAGCUAGGGGAGCAAACAGG
RNAcentral lists this ribosomal RNA (253 nucleotides) under uncultured bacterium. Its description in RNAcentral is "partial 16S ribosomal RNA". It matches the Rfam family "Bacterial small subunit ribosomal RNA", at positions 524 to 776 of the family's 1533-position model. The record is from RNAcentral.